RNAcentral lists this ribosomal RNA (433 nucleotides) under uncultured bacterium. Its description in RNAcentral is "partial 16S ribosomal RNA". It matches the Rfam family "Bacterial small subunit ribosomal RNA", at positions 28 to 507 of the family's 1533-position model. The record is from RNAcentral.
GACGAACGCUGGCGGCAUGCCUAAUACAUGCAAGUAGAACGAGACCUUCGGGUGUUGUCUCGUACGGGUGGGUAUGCCGUGGGGUGCUUCACUUGGGUUCGGCCUGACUUGUCGCGGGGGGUGAUAAUUGGGGACGAUGUCUACUACCCCAAGAUGUAGCGGCUAAGGUUGGGCCCGCGUUGAAUUAGCGAUUUGGUAAGGUAAACGUCUACCAAGGCGACGUUCCAUAGCUGGUCCGGGAGCAUGACCAGUCACACUGGGACAGAGACACGGCCCAGACUUCUACGGGAGGCAGCAGUGGGGAAUAUUGGACAAUGGGCGAAAGCCUGAGGCAGCAAUGCCGCGUGAGUGAGGAAGGCGUUAGGGUUGUAAAGCUCUUUUAACCGGGAUGAUAAUGACAGUACCGGAAGAAUAAGCGACGGCUAACUCCGUG